This 855-nucleotide ribosomal RNA is filed under the name uncultured Moraxellaceae bacterium. RNAcentral describes it as "bacterial SSU rRNA". It matches the Rfam family "Bacterial small subunit ribosomal RNA", at positions 528 to 1382 of the family's 1533-position model. The record is from RNAcentral. Lineage: Bacteria; Pseudomonadati; Pseudomonadota; Gammaproteobacteria; Moraxellales; Moraxellaceae.
GAGGGUGCGAGCGUUAAUCGGAUCUACUGGGCGUAAAGCGUGCGUAGGCGGCUUUUUAAGUCGGAUGUGAAAUCCCUGAGCUUAACUUAGGAAUUGCAUUCGAUACUGGGAAGCUAGAGUAUGGGAGAGGAUGGUAGAAUUCCAGGUGUAGCGGUGAAAUGCGUAGAGAUCUGGAGGAAUACCGAUGGCGAAGGCAGCCAUCUGGCCUAAUACUGACGCUGAGGUACGAAAGCAUGGGGAGCAAACAGGAUUAGAUACCCUGGUAGUCCAUGCCGUAAACGAUGUCUACUAGCCGUUGGGGCCUUUGAGGCUUUAGUGGCGCAGCUAACGCGAUAAGUAGACCGCCUGGGGAGUACGGUCGCAAGACUAAAACUCAAAUGAAUUGACGGGGGCCCGCACAAGCGGUGGAGCAUGUGGUUUAAUUCGAUGCAACGCGAAGAACCUUACCUGGUCUUGACAUAGUAAGAACUUUCCAGAGAUGGAUUGGUGCCUUCGGGAACUUACAUACAGGUGCUGCAUGGUUGUCGUCAGCUCGUGUCGUGAGAUGUUGGGUUAAGUCCCGCAACGAGCGCAACCCUUUUCCUUAUUUGCCAGCGGGUUAAGCCGGGAACUUUAAGGAUACUGCCAGUGACAAACUGGAGGAAGGCGGGGACGACGUCAAGUCAUCAUGGCCCUUACGACCAGGGCUACACACGUGCUACAAUGGUCGGUACAAAGGGUUGCUACCUAGCGAUAGGAUGCUAAUCUCAAAGAGCCGAUCGUAGUCCGGAUUGGAGUCUGCAACUCGACUCCAUGAAGUCGGAAUCGCUAGUAAUCGCGGAUCAGAAUGCCGCGGUGAAUACGUUCCCGGGCCUU